RNAcentral lists this ribosomal RNA (466 nucleotides) under uncultured bacterium. RNAcentral's name for it is "bacterial SSU rRNA". It matches the Rfam family "Bacterial small subunit ribosomal RNA", at positions 28 to 477 of the family's 1533-position model. The record is from RNAcentral.
GACGAACGCUGGCGGCGUGCCUAAUACAUGCAAGUCGAGCGAAUCUUUGGGGGCUUGCUCCCAAAGGUUAGCGGCGGACGGGUGAGUAACACGUGGGCAACCUGCCUAUAAGACUGGGAUAACUUCGGGGAACCGGAGCUAAUACCGGAUAAUUCUUUUCUACACAUGUAGGAAAGCUAAAAGAUGGUUUACGCUAUCACUUAUAGAUGGGCCCGCGGCGCAUUAGCUAGUUGGUGAGGUAACGGCUCACCAAGGCCACGAUGCGUAGCCGACCUGAGAGGGUGAUCGGCCACACUGGGACUGAGACACGGCCCAGACUCCUACGGGAGGCAGCAGUAGGGAAUCUUCCGCAAUGGACGAAAGUCUGACGGAGCAACGCCGCGUGAGUGAUGAAGGUUUUCGGAUCGUAAAACUCUGUUGUUAGGGAAGAACAAGUAUGAGAGUAACUGCUCGUACCUUGACGGUA